RNAcentral lists this ribosomal RNA (253 nucleotides) under uncultured bacterium. Its description in RNAcentral is "partial 16S ribosomal RNA". It matches the Rfam family "Bacterial small subunit ribosomal RNA", at positions 524 to 776 of the family's 1533-position model. The record is from RNAcentral.
UACGGGGGGGGCAAGCGUUGUUCGGAAUUACUGGGCGUAAAGGGCUCGUAGGCGGCCAACUAAGUCGGACGUGAAAUCCCCAGGCUCAACCUGGGAACUGCGUCCGAUACUGGAUGGCUUGAAUUCGGGAGAGGGAUGCAGAAUUCCAGGUGUAGCGGUGAAAUGCGUAGAUAUCUGGAGGAAUACCGGUGGCGAAGGCGGCUUCCUGGACCGACACUGACGCUGAGGCGCGAAAGCUAGGGGAGCAAACGGG